AGUGGGCGGACGGGUGAGUAACGCGUGGGUAACCUGCCUCAUACAGGGGAGUAACAGUUAGAAAUGACUGCUAAUACCGCAUAAGACCACAGCACCGCAUGGUGCAGGGGUAAAAACUCCGGUGGUAUGAGAUGGACCCGCGUCUGAUUAGGUAGUUGGUGGGGUAACGGCCUACCAAGCCGACGAUCAGUAGCCGACCUGAGAGGGUGACCGGCCACAUUGGGACUGAGACACGGCCCAA
RNAcentral lists this ribosomal RNA (241 nucleotides) under uncultured bacterium. Its description in RNAcentral is "partial 16S ribosomal RNA". It matches the Rfam family "Bacterial small subunit ribosomal RNA", at positions 93 to 334 of the family's 1533-position model. The record is from RNAcentral.